Long non-coding RNA from Medicago truncatula (barrel medic), 726 nucleotides. RefSeq lists it as uncharacterized. The transcript has 3 exons. Lineage: Eukaryota; Viridiplantae; Streptophyta; Magnoliopsida; Fabales; Fabaceae. The record is from RefSeq and is a predicted model, not a curated record.
GUCAGAAAAAAAUGUACAAGGACAAUGAUUAGCAAGACCCAUACUAUGAUGUCCCAUGUAUGACGAACUAUGGUGGUGUCAAAGGAUGUCCUUUAUUACUUUCUCCCCUACACACAUGCACGAUACCCAUUAUUUCCAACAUUGAAAAGGAUUACAAAAGGAAUUAAAUUUGGUGAAAGAUUUAUUAGCUAACACUGCCUCAACGGAAGUUCCAUUAUUCACUCCUUAUUUCACGAAGGCACAGAAGAAAAAAGAAGUUAAGGUGGCAUACCUAACUCGUUCUCAGGGUCCACUCCAUCACCUCCCAAAUGAUGGAAUAUUCGGGGAGCCGGCAGGACAUGUUAUUGUUGUUUGGUUUGACACAAUUCCGUCCUUUUUGUCUUUAGAUUUCUUUAGGGAUAUGAAUUUCUUUCCUAACUAUCGCUUUCCCUAGGAUUUCCGUUGUUUCUUUCUGUUUCCUGCAUCUCUUUUUGAGGGUUUUGGCCUAGUCCCCCCUCUUUUAUAUAUAUUUUUCCCUUUUUAUAAUAAUAUAUAUGGAGUAGGCGGUAGAGGAUGGGAGCUCUAGUUGGAUGCCAACCUAGUUGGGAUGUUUCUGGCACUCCUUGAUGCCUAACCUACUUUUUGCCUUAUAAAAAAAAAUCAUUUUCUUUCACCAGCAAAUUCCAUAGAGGUUUAGAAACUUUUGAGAAAUAUUUUAUGAACCUCCAGUAAAAUACGGCAUGUCCU